Molecule: ribosomal RNA, 406 nt
Filed under: uncultured bacterium
Lineage: Bacteria
Description: partial 16S ribosomal RNA
Rfam family: Bacterial small subunit ribosomal RNA
Source: RNAcentral
AUUGAACGCUGGCGGCAGGCCUAACACAUGCAAGUCGAACGAGUGGCGGACGGGUGAGUAAUGUCUGGGAAACUGCCUGAUGGAGGGGGAUAACUACUGGAAACGGUAGCUAAUACCGCAUACCAUCGGAUGUGCCCAGCUGGGAUUAGCUAGUAGGUGGGGUAACGGCUCACCUAGGCGACGAUCCCUAGCUGGUAUGAGAGGAUGACCAGCCACAGUGGAGCUGAGACAGGGUCCAGACUACUACGGGAGGCAGCAGUGGUGAAUAUUGCACAAUGGGCGCAAGCCUGAUGAAGCAAUGAGGAGUGUAUGAAGAAGGCCGUCGGGUUGUAAAGUACUUUCAGCGGGGAGGCGUUACCCGCAGAAGAAGCACCGGAUAACUCCGUGCCAGUAGCCGCGGUAAUUC